CUUUCAAGGGCCUGUGCCUGUGGUAACUGUCUAUGAGCCAGGUAUAUCUGAAGCAUAUUUGACAACAGAAAAAGUUAAUGUAAUUUUCAAAGGAAAAACGCCAACUUUUUUCAAAAAGGCUGGAUCCAGCUCUUCAUGAAUGUCCUCAAUGAGAAGGGGUCGGCCCAAGGAAAGGCUGUCCUCCAAGUGUGUGCGAAAAUAUUUAUGGUUCAGAGAUGUCACCUAAACAGAAAGAACUCAUUGGUCUAUCUGUGUUACAAAGAAUGUGCCCAUUGCUAAGGGAAACCGAGAGAUUUGUUGGACAGGUAAUCAAGAAUUUUAAGGGCAAUAGAAGAAGACUUACUUAAAAAAAUUAAAGUAACAUACAAAAAUUAAUUUCUAAA
Molecule: long non-coding RNA, 383 nt
Filed under: Homo sapiens (human)
Lineage: Eukaryota; Metazoa; Chordata; Mammalia; Primates; Hominidae
Description: DNAH8 antisense RNA 1
Source: RNAcentral